Molecule: long non-coding RNA, 1104 nt
Organism: Psammomys obesus (fat sand rat)
Lineage: Eukaryota; Metazoa; Chordata; Mammalia; Rodentia; Muridae
Exons: 4
Source: RefSeq, a predicted model, not a curated record
AGAAUCCAGUUCUCUUACCGCAAGCCCUGGAUACCCUAACACGACAGAAACACAAAAACUUCAACCCGAAUUUACCCUGCCUACAAGAUGCGCAGGGAUAAAGAUAGCGCAGAGAUUGAGGGAACGUCAAGCCUGAAACUCAAAUAAAAAUACGGCUUUUUCAAGCCUGUAAUUCAGUGAGCAGAGGGACAGACCAGACCACGAGUGUGGCCGUGCUGCCCUGGAGUCCCUCCGACAGCGAAUGCGCAAAUCAGCUGAAAAGAAGAAGGCCACUGCGGUGCUGAGAGGCAUGACCUUACCCUUAGGAAAUACACACUGAAGAAUGGAGAAUGGAAAGGCCUAGAGACAGGAGCCUAACAUGACUGUCAUCUGGGAGGCUCCAGCCAGCAGCAGAUGAAGACAGAUGCUGGAACUUGCAGCCAAGCAUGGGGCGGAGCUCCAGGGGUCUUGUGGAAGCGUUAGGAAAAAGAUGGAAGAACCUGCAGGUGAUAGGAGCCCCACAAGAAGACCAAGUAACCCAGACCCACAGGGACUUACAGACACUGAGACAUCAAACCUAGGUGAGCUGCAGGAUUCAGUAAAAGCAGAACAGCAGUCAACAGCCUAAUCAUAAACUUGGUUACGUGGCUCACCAGUCUGGAUUUUCAAGCAAACAAGAAGCUUCCUGGACCAUACAGGGUGUUGAAACUUUCUAAAUCCCAGCUAAGGACAGCUGAUUUAUCCGAAGGUGCUUUCUCCUGACGUACACAUUUCCUGAAAGGUUCUCUUUAUAAAACAGCAAUGAGAAAGGUAUAAUCCUCCUUCUGACCCUUAUUAAACCUUGAACAUACUUUACAAUCCUUUAAGUACAGAGGAAUCAGGGAGCGAUUGCGGUCCCAUCGCUACCCACACAUGUUGGGCUGUUUUGCUCUUCCCUUGGACAGGAGUGUCUAUUAUUGUUGGUCAGAGCUGGUAAGCUUCCCAGGCCAGCAUGCUUCCCAUCUCAUGCCUUUAUGCUAGCACUACAGUUCCUCGCCUGCCUUUUCCUUUUGUGUCUUUUUAGUCAUUUGUUUCUUGGCUCUGUUUUCAUUGCCACAUUCACUGCCAAAUGUGUUCCACUGCAAU